GCGUACAAGGAACCGAUGAAUCGUUGGAACUUGGAAUCGUCACGACUCGGAAACACGCAAUCGUUCUUACGAUUCUUUUCAACGACGAUUCGUCCGUAUCACGAUUCGAUUCUUACGAUUCUUUAUUUAGAGUCGUUCAAAUGAACGACUCAUUCACGAAUCGCCACAACUCUAGUGUCUACUAGCUGUGGUGUGAGUUUUUACACAGUUUUUCAUCGACUCUGGAUUACGGAAGCAGCCAGAUGCGACGACUCCCGCAGCUGUUUCGAAGAAUGUGUCCGUGGAAAGGCGUGCAGUACCGUUUGUGCUCAAGAUAUUUGUUCUUCAAAUCCUAGAAGAACAGCUUGUGAUGGGAUGGAUGCUCUGCCAUACACAAUCACUGUGCAGCAGCUUUGAUGGAAGCAGGAACUACUCCAUAGCAGGCUUCAAAAGAGUCACGAACACAAGGUAGAUGUGAUGGUAUCAAGUGUUUGCCGCUCGCACCACGGAAGCUGUAUUGGAAGAAAAC
Long non-coding RNA from Schistocerca serialis cubense, 508 nucleotides. RefSeq lists it as uncharacterized. The record is from RefSeq and is a predicted model, not a curated record. NCBI's taxonomy places the organism in Eukaryota, Metazoa, Arthropoda, Insecta, Orthoptera, Acrididae. The transcript has 3 exons.